AGAGUUUGAUCCUGGCUCAGGAUGAACGCUAGCUACAGGCUUAACACAUGCAAGUCGAGGGGCAGCGGGAAGAAAGCUUGCUUUCUUUGCCGGCGACCGGCGCACGGGUGAGUAACGCGUAUCCAACCUUCCCCUUAGUAGGGCAUAGCCCGGCGAAAGUCGGAUUAAUACCCUAUGUUAUUCGUAGAGGACAUCUGAAAUGAAUCAAAGAUUUAUCGCUAAGGGAUGGGGAUGCGUCUGAUUAGGUAGUAGGCGGGGUAACGGCCCACCUAGCCGACGAUCAGUAGGGGUUCUGAGAGGAAGGUCCCCCACAUUGGAACUGAGACACGGUCCAAACUCCUACGGGAGGCAGCAGUGAGGAAUAUUGGUCAAUGGACGGGAGUCUGAACCAGCCAAGUAGCGUGCAGGAUGACGGCCCUAUGGGUUGUAAACUGCUUUUAUACGGGGAUAAAGUGAGGGACGUGUCCCUUUUUGUAGGUACCGUAUGAAUAAGGACCGGCUAAUUCCGUGCCAGCAGCCGCGGUAAUACGGAAGGUCCGGGCGUUAUCCGGAUUUAUUGGGUUUAAAGGGAGCGCAGGCU
RNAcentral lists this ribosomal RNA (580 nucleotides) under uncultured bacterium. RNAcentral's name for it is "bacterial SSU rRNA". It matches the Rfam family "Bacterial small subunit ribosomal RNA", at positions 8 to 577 of the family's 1533-position model. The record is from RNAcentral.